This 52-nucleotide small RNA is filed under the name Halalkalibacterium halodurans C-125. RNAcentral describes it as "Bacillus halodurans C-125 Bacillaceae-1 RNA". It matches the Rfam family "Bacillaceae-1 RNA". The record is from Rfam by way of RNAcentral. Lineage: Bacteria; Bacillati; Bacillota; Bacilli; Caryophanales; Bacillaceae.
UUAAAAAGAAGGCAUGCUAAAGGCGCAACGUCCUAUUGCAACGCAUGCUCCU